This 817-nucleotide ribosomal RNA is filed under the name Bacillus subtilis. Its description in RNAcentral is "bacterial SSU rRNA". It matches the Rfam family "Bacterial small subunit ribosomal RNA", at positions 89 to 888 of the family's 1533-position model. The record is from RNAcentral. Lineage: Bacteria; Bacillati; Bacillota; Bacilli; Caryophanales; Bacillaceae.
AUGUUAGCGGCGGACGGGUGAGUAACACGUGGGUAACCUGCCUGUAAGACUGGGAUAACUCCGGGAAACCGGGGCUAAUACCGGAUGCUUGUUUGAACCGCAUGGUUCAAACAUAAAAGGUGGCUUCGGCUACCACUUACAGAUGGACCCGCGGCGCAUUAGCUAGUUGGUGAGGUAAUGGCUCACCAAGGCGACGAUGCGUAGCCGACCUGAGAGGGUGAUCGGCCACACUGGGACUGAGACACGGCCCAGACUCCUACGGGAGGCAGCAGUAGGGAAUCUUCCGCAAUGGACGAAAGUCUGACGGAGCAACGCCGCGUGAGUGAUGAAGGUUUUCGGAUCGUAAAGCUCUGUUGUUAGGGAAGAACAAGUACCGUUCGAAUAGGGCGGUACCUUGACGGUACCUAACCAGAAAGCCACGGCUAACUACGUGCCAGCAGCCGCGGUAAUACGUAGGUGGCAAGCGUUGUCCGGAAUUAUUGGGCGUAAAGGGCUCGCAGGCGGUUUCUUAAGUCUGAUGUGAAAGCCCCCGGCUCAACCGGGGAGGGUCAUUGGAAACUGGGGAACUUGAGUGCAGAAGAGGAGAGUGGAAUUCCACGUGUAGCGGUGAAAUGCGUAGAGAUGUGGAGGAACACCAGUGGCGAAGGCGACUCUCUGGUCUGUAACUGACGCUGAGGAGCGAAAGCGUGGGGAGCGAACAGGAUUAGAUACCCUGGUAGUCCACGCCGUAAACGAUGAGUGCUAAGUGUUAAGGGGGUUUCCGCCCCCUUAGUGCUGCAGCUAACGCAUUAAGCACUCCGCCUGGGGAGUACGGUCG